Molecule: ribosomal RNA, 363 nt
Filed under: uncultured bacterium
Lineage: Bacteria
Description: bacterial SSU rRNA
Rfam family: Bacterial small subunit ribosomal RNA
Source: RNAcentral
AGAGUUUGAUCCUGGCUCAGGAUGAACGCUGGCGGCAUGCCUAAGACAUGCAAGUCGUACGAGGUAGCCCAUUGAAGUUUUAUGCUUGCAUAAAAUUGAUUUGGAUUACUACCUAGUGGCGAAAGGGUGAGUAACACGUGAGUUAUCUACCUCAGAGACUGGGAUAACUAUUGGAAACGAUAGCUAAUACCGGAUGAUAUAUAAAAUGAUAAGUUAUUUUAUAGUAAAAGGAGCCUUAAAGCUUCACUUUGAGAUGAGCUUGCGACGUAUUAGCUUGUUGGUGGGGUAAUGGCCUACCAAGGCGACGAUGCGUAGCCGACCUGAGAGGGUGAUCGGCCACACUGGGACUGAGACACGGCCCAG